This 324-nucleotide ribosomal RNA is filed under the name uncultured eukaryote. RNAcentral describes it as "partial 18S ribosomal RNA". It matches the Rfam family "Eukaryotic small subunit ribosomal RNA", at positions 1470 to 1796 of the family's 1831-position model. The record is from RNAcentral.
CCCUUAGAUGCUCUGGGCCGCACGCGCGCUACACUGGUCGAUGCAACGAGUUUCUUUCCUUGGCCGACAGGCCUGGGCAAUCUUUGAACAUCGAUCGUGAUCGGGAUAGAUUCUUGUAAUUUUUGAUCUUAAACGAGGAAUUCCUAGUAAACGCAAGUCAUCAGCUUGCAUUGAUUACGUCCCUGCCCUUUAUACACACCGCCCGUCGCACCUACCGAUUGAAUGGUCCGGUGAAAUCUCCGGACUGGCGUGAGUCGGAGCAAUCUGACAAACGCCGGAAAGUUGAUUAAACCUUACCAUUUAGAGGAAGGUGAAGUCGUAACA